UUUUAGAAAUUAAUUUAAAGUCUAACCUGCCCACUGAAUAAUUUUAAAUGGCCGCAGUAUCCUAACUGUGCAAAGGUAGCAUAAUCAUUAGUCUUUUAAUUGAAGGCUGGAAUGAAUGGUUGGAUGAAAUAUUAACUGUUUCAAAUAAAUUUAUAAUAGAAUUUUAUUUUUUAGUCAAAAAGCUAAAAUAAAAUUAAAAGACGAGAAGACCCUAUAAAUCUUUAUAAUUUUUAAAUUUUAAUUAUUUAGAUAAAUUAAAUUAUAAUUAUAAAAAUUAUUUUAUUGGGGUGAUAUUAAAAUUUAAUAAACUUUUAAUUUAUAUUUUACAUAAAUUAAUGAAUUAUUGAUCCAUAAAUUAUGAUUAAAAAAUUAAGUUACUUUAGGGAUAACAGCGUAAUUUUUUUAGAGAGUUCAUAUUGAUAAAAA
Molecule: ribosomal RNA, 426 nt
Filed under: Megaselia sp. 1 SH-2017
Lineage: Eukaryota; Metazoa; Arthropoda; Insecta; Diptera; Phoridae
Description: partial 16S ribosomal RNA
Source: RNAcentral